AAAUUGAAGAGUUUGAUCAUGGCUCAGAUUGAACGCUGGCGGCAGGCCUAACACAUGCAAGUCGAACGGUAACAGAAAGAAGCUUGCUUCUUUGCUGACGAGUGGCGGACGGGUGAGUAAUGUCUGGGAAACUGCCUGAUGGAGGGGGAUAACUACUGGAAACGGUAGCUAAUACCGCAUAACGUCGCAAGACCAAAGAGGGGGACCUUCGGGCCUCUUGCCAUCGGAUGUGCCCAGAUGGGAUUAGCUUGUUGGUGGGGUAACGGCUCACCAAGGCGACGAUCCCUAGCUGGUCUGAGAGGAUGACCAGCCACACUGGAACUGAGACACGGUCCAGACUCCUACGGGAGGCAGCAGUGGGGAAUAUUGCACAAUGGGCGCAAGCCUGAUGCAGCCAUGCCGCGUGUAUGAAGAAGGCCUUCGGGUUGUAAAGUACUUUCAGCGGGGAGGAAGGGAGUAAAGUUAAUACCUUUGCUC
This 477-nucleotide ribosomal RNA is filed under the name Escherichia coli. Its description in RNAcentral is "bacterial SSU rRNA". It matches the Rfam family "Bacterial small subunit ribosomal RNA", at positions 1 to 474 of the family's 1533-position model. The record is from RNAcentral. Lineage: Bacteria; Pseudomonadati; Pseudomonadota; Gammaproteobacteria; Enterobacterales; Enterobacteriaceae.